CACCUCCGGUUCUCAGACACGUUCAACCGUGGGAAAAACGAGGGAAAGGGUAGGGGUAGAAAGCAGGUGGGGAGGGGGGAGAGCGGCGCCUGGGGUAGGCGGCGGGCGGCGGCGGCGGCAACUGUGAUGGGCGCUUAGAGGAAGAAGGCUCACCACCUCUCCUCUGUACCGUGAGGCCUCCGACGAAGUCCCCUAACAGGAUGGCGCCUGCUGCCCGGCCGUACAACCCCGUAGCAAAAGGUGCCUCCGACCCCUCUGAUAGGCGCGUUGGGACAAAGGACCACUACCGUAGCCCGGACUCUAGCGGCUCAGCCAGUUCGUCCAUAAGUUACAACGUCCACAUGGCUAUCUUACCCUUCUUGUAAUACAACCAUGCCUUCAACUAGGGUCUUGUCUCUCGAAAAACUGUACCCUCUCGGACCUCAGCCACGCAUCUUUGUUUCAACCGAACUUUCCAGGAUACCGAUGUGGAUAACCUUUUCCGGUGGCAAGAAACUUAGAAUGUAAUUCCUUUCUUGAACCUGAGAUGCGGUUACAGUCUGGAACGUUGUCGGAGGGUCCGAUGUUCUGAUCUAUACUACUACACUUGGAACACUGUUAGGCACUUUUAUGACUUCCUCUCAUAUCACCGGAACUCGUAGUCCAACACUCCCCACAACACCUUUCAAACUUUUAAUAAUGGGCGGUUCGUUCAAACUCUCACCGUCUCAUACGAAAGGUAAUACGGUUUCGGUUACCGUCCCUCUCCCAGAGACGCUAUGUAUUUCGAUUAUAGUACUCCUUUUGUCUACCUGAAAAGGAGUUCACAACGGCACUUCAUCGACUCUUCAUGGGACUUUAGUGUAUACUCCUUCAGUAAUAACUGUUAACGACGUACUGUGAGCACUUCUUAGGACCAUGUAAACUACAUAAUCACUACGGUUUAGACAUACCACUGUAAUAAUCACUAGAUACACGACCAAACUAACCUCCGAACCCGAAUUGAGGGUCGACGUUGUAACCACUUCCACCGUAAACAGACCGUCUCCGACAAGUACCAAGACGUGGACUAUAGAGACCGUUCUUGGAACGUUUGGGUUGACGAGAAUACAACUCACGACAAUACUACAACGCGGUGAACGUUAAGUUACUGGUUCGUCUGGCCUAGGUGUUACGGUAGGAGGUCUGUUAACGGCUCCCCUUCAUGUCUUGGCGACUAGAACCACCCUUCAGUAGUUGCAGUCUGAUGUGUUUUCGUCAAACGCUAGUAUAGACUCGUGGUCGACGAGAAAGAGAGCUAAUAAACAGAGGGUGGAUUAAAACAACGUAUGGCCCUCGAAAUCGGACUCAUCCAUUCACCGUCCGUGGAGCUAAAGGAACCCACAACUCUGUGGCAAAUUCCGAGGACUUAUUAGGAGCGUAAGAACAGGAACCUUUUCAAAAUGGUCGUAACGUCAGUUCGACUUCUUAGCAGACAUUAUUAGUAACCGUCGUAGUCGCGUAUAUUAAACAAACAAGAUCAAGAAUCUCUUGACCUAAAACU
Molecule: ribosomal RNA, 1522 nt
Filed under: Triticum aestivum (bread wheat)
Lineage: Eukaryota; Viridiplantae; Streptophyta; Magnoliopsida; Poales; Poaceae
Description: partial small subunit ribosomal RNA
Source: RNAcentral